AUGCAGAUGCUCAUGGUUGUGGUUGUGGUUAUGAAUGUGGAUAAGGAUAUGAAUACUUACAUGGGGCUGAUGGUGGCCGUGACGUUGGACGAGUCUGGGGGCGGCCUCCAGGCACCCGGAGGAGGGAUCAGCCUCGUCUGCAAGGGCUCUGGAUUCACCUUCAGCAGUUAUGCCAUGCUCUGGGUGCGCCAGGCACCAGGCAAGGGGCUGGAGUCGGUCGCUGCUAUUAGCAAUACUGGUAGUAGCACAUGGUACGCGCCGGCGGUGAAGGGCCGUGCCACCAUCUCGAGGGACAACGGGCAGAGCACAGUGAGGCUGCAGCUGAACAACCUCAGGGCUGAGGACACCGCCACCUACUGCUGUGCAAAAUGUGCUGGUAGUGGUAGUGGUUGUGGUUCUACUUACGCUAUUGACGUUUUUAGUGCUGUCACCCACAGCCCAGAUUGAGAAAUCAGAGCCCAA
Molecule: non-coding RNA, 462 nt
Organism: Phasianus colchicus (ring-necked pheasant)
Lineage: Eukaryota; Metazoa; Chordata; Aves; Galliformes; Phasianidae
Source: the annotation of a RefSeq genome assembly